This 523-nucleotide ribosomal RNA is filed under the name uncultured bacterium. Its description in RNAcentral is "bacterial SSU rRNA". It matches the Rfam family "Bacterial small subunit ribosomal RNA", at positions 8 to 526 of the family's 1533-position model. The record is from RNAcentral.
AGGGUUCGAUCAUGGCUCAGGAUGAACGCUAGCGGCAGGCCUUAUACAUGCAAGUCGAACGGUAACAUUGGUGCUUGCACCAGAUGACGAGUGGCGCACGGGUGCGUAACGCGUAUGCAACCUACCUUUUACUAGAGUAUAGCCCAGAGAAAUUUGGAUUAAUCCUCUAUAACAUCUUUUGAUUUCAUGAUUAAUUGAUUAAAGUUUUAACGGUAAAAGAUGGGCAUGCGUCCUAUUAGUUUGUAGGUGAGGUAACGGCUCACCUAGACUACGAUAGGUAGGGGCCCUGAGAGGGGGAUCCCCCACACUGGUACUGAGACACGGACCAGACUCCUACGGGAGGCAGCAGUAAGGAAUAUUGGACAAUGGACGAAAGUCUGAUCCAGCCAUGCCGCGUGCAGGAUGAAAGCCCUAUGGGUUGUAAACUGCUUUUAUACAGGAAGAAACACUCCGACGUGUCGGAGCUUGACGGUACUGUAAGAAUAAGGAUCGGCUAACUCCGUGCCAGCAGCCGCGGUAAUUC